CUGCGGUGAAUACGUUCCCGGGCCUUGUACACACCGCCCGUCAAACCAUGGAAGUUGGGGGCGCCCGAAGUCGCCUAUAAAGCGCCGAAGGCGAAACCGAUGACUGGGGUU
This 111-nucleotide ribosomal RNA is filed under the name uncultured bacterium. RNAcentral describes it as "partial 16S ribosomal RNA". It matches the Rfam family "Bacterial small subunit ribosomal RNA", at positions 1357 to 1482 of the family's 1533-position model. The record is from RNAcentral.